This 327-nucleotide ribosomal RNA is filed under the name uncultured Enterobacter sp. Its description in RNAcentral is "bacterial SSU rRNA". It matches the Rfam family "Bacterial small subunit ribosomal RNA", at positions 505 to 834 of the family's 1533-position model. Lineage: Bacteria; Pseudomonadati; Pseudomonadota; Gammaproteobacteria; Enterobacterales; Enterobacteriaceae. The record is from RNAcentral.
GUGCCAGCCGCCGCGGUAAUACGGAGGGUGCAAGCGUUAAUCGGAAUUACUGGGCGUAAAGCGCUACGCAGGCGGUCUGUCAAGUCGGAUGUGAAAUCCCCGGGCUCAACCUGGGAACUGCAUUCGAAACUGGCAGGCUAGAGUCUUGUAGAGGGGGGUAGAAUUCCAGGUGUAGCGGUGAAAUGCGUAGAGAUCUGGAGAAUACCGGUGGCGAGGCGCCCCCUGGACAAGACUGACGCUCAGGUGCGAAAGCGUGGGGAGCAAACAGGAUUAGAUACCCUGGUAGUCCACGCCGUAAACGAUGUCGACUUGGAGUUGUGCCCUUGA